GGUAGGAGACAGAGUAGGAAGAGAGGGAUACAACAGGGACCAGGUAGGAGGUAGGAGACAGAGUAGGAAGAGAGGGAUACAACAGGGACCAGGUAGGAGGUAGGAGGUAGGAGACACAGUAGAAAGGGAGGGAUACAACAGGGACCGGGUAGGAGGUAGGAGACAGAGUAGGAAGAGAGGGAUACAACAGGGACCGGGUAGGAGGUAGGAGACAGAGUAGAAAGGGAGGGAUACAACAGGGACCGGGUAGGAGGUAGGAGACAGAGUAGAAAGAGAGGGAUACAACAGGGACCAGGUAGGAGGUAGGAGACAGAGUAGAAAGGGAGGGAUACAACAGGGACCAGGUAGGAGGUAGGAGACAGAGUAGGAAGAGAGGGAUACAACAGGGACCGGGUAGGAGGUAGGAGACAGAGUAGGAAGAGAGGGAUACAACAGGGACCGGGUAGGAGGUAGGAGACAGAGUAGAAAGAGAGGGAUACAACAGGGACCAGGUAGGAGGUAGGAGGUAGGAGACACAGUAGAAAGGGAGGGAUACAACAGGGACCGGGUAGGAGGUAGGAGACAGAGUAGAAAGGGAGGGAUACAACAGGGACCGGGUAGGAGGUAGGAGACAGAGUAGAAAGAGAGGGAUACAACAGGGACCGGGUAGGAGGUAGGAGACAGAGUAGAAAGAGAGGGAUACAACAGGGACCAGGUAGGAGGUAGGAGACAGAGUAGAAAGGGAGGGAUACAACAGGGACCGGGUAGGAGACAGAGCAGAAAGAGAGGGAUACAACAGGGACCGGGUAGGAGGUAGGAGACAGAGUAGAAAGGGAGGGAUACAACAGGGACCAGGUAGGAGGUAGGAGACAGAGUAGGAAGAGAGGGAUACAACAGGGACCGGGUAGGAGGUAGGAGACAGAGUAGGAAGAGAGGGAUACAACAGGGACCGGGUAGGAGGUAGGAGACAGAGUAGAAAGAGAGGGAUACAACAGGGACCAGGUAGGAGGUAGGAGGUAGGAGACACAGUAGAAAGGGAGGGAUACAACAGGGACCGGGUAGGAGGUAGGAGACAGAGUAGAAAGGGAGGGAUACAACAGGGACCGGGUAGGAGGUAGGAGA
Molecule: non-coding RNA, 1101 nt
Organism: Oncorhynchus mykiss (rainbow trout)
Lineage: Eukaryota; Metazoa; Chordata; Actinopteri; Salmoniformes; Salmonidae
Source: RefSeq, a predicted model, not a curated record